UACGUAGGGUGCAAGCGUUGUCCGGAAUUAUUGGGCGUAAAGAGCUCGUAGGCGGUUUGUCGCGUCUGCUGUGAAAACCUAAGGCUCAACCUCGGGCCUGCAGUGGGUACGGGCAGGCUAGAGUGCGGUAGGGGAGAAUGGAACUCCUGGUGUAGCGGUGGAAUGCGCAGAUAUCAGGAAGAACACCGAUGGCGAAGGCAGUUCUCUGGGCCGUAACUGACGCUGAGGAGCGAAAGCGUGGGGAGCGAACAGG
This 253-nucleotide ribosomal RNA is filed under the name uncultured bacterium. Its description in RNAcentral is "partial 16S ribosomal RNA". It matches the Rfam family "Bacterial small subunit ribosomal RNA", at positions 524 to 776 of the family's 1533-position model. The record is from RNAcentral.